RNAcentral lists this long non-coding RNA (265 nucleotides) under Solanum tuberosum (potato). RNAcentral describes it as "long non-coding RNA (STUB_LNC007386)". Lineage: Eukaryota; Viridiplantae; Streptophyta; Magnoliopsida; Solanales; Solanaceae. The record is from RNAcentral.
GACGAGCGAGAUUGGGAGAGGGAGGAGAGAGGCGAGCGAGAGAGGCUAGGGAGUGGAGAGAGGCGAAUUGUAUGUGUAUAUCCGUCGAACUGUAUAUGUAUAUCUGUCAGAUAAUUGUAUAUAUGUAUUUCCUAUACAUAUGUAUUUGUAUAUCUGGCGAGCGAGAUUGGGAGAGGGAGGAGAGAGGUGAACGAGGGAGAGGCGAGCGAGAGAGAGUAGAGAGUGGAUAUAAACUAAUUGUAUUUGUAUAUCUGUCAUAUAAUUG